CUCAGGCCUGAUAGGAUCUGUCCUGGUUCUGGAAUGUUUAAGUUGUUCUAGUGAAAGGUAUCUCAAUUCAGAGGUACCCGAAUUAGAGGUACCCACUUAUGGGUGGGUAAAUUACUGCAAGAGAAGAUCAAGGAAGUCACUCGCCAUCUGUGAGGGAGGCAGCGGAGCCCCAGAGGCACUGGGGAGAGGCAGCUGGGCCUCGAGCUUGUGGUUGCAGAUUGGAGCUGGCCAGGGCAGAGAUGCUGUGCUGAGAUGGAAGCGGUGGCAGCUGAAACCUGGAUAAUUAGAGCCGGCCGAACACCUUUUGACAAGGAUCAUAAAGACUUUUGCAAACAUUAAUUAAUGUCCCCACCCGGUGAAGAAAGAGCAACUUAUUUUCCAAGUGCAUCAAGGGAAGGCCUAGGCAAUAAGGUCCUGAUGGAUUUUCAACAAUAAGCUGAAAGGCUCUUUCAGAUUCCAAUUUCUUAGUGAGAAAAAAAGCCAAAGCCAAACAAUUCCUAAAAUGGCAAAAACCAGUUCUCCCAGUGCCCCAGCGGGCCUGCUGGGCCGUUCACCUUUGCUUUCAAACAUCCAGUUCCGAGGCAGACGCGAAACCCUGCACCCUCCAGCUUGGCUCCCUCAGGCCUGGACCCCCCCUGACACCCACAUGAAAGAGGAAAAGAGGCGCUUCCCCAUCUCUGCACAGCUCACCAUCAGAGAUCCGAGCUGCUCGGCCCUCUCCCCUCACCCUGGGCUCCCCUUUUUGCCCUGUUCCAAAGCUUCCCGCCUUCGAUCUCAUAAGGCGGCCACCUGGCCCCUCAGCCCCAUGUGUGGCUUUGACCUUCACUCGCUCCUUGGUCACAGUCCCAGGCUCCAUCUGGUUUGAGCUGACCUGUGUGAAUGCCCCACCCAGCGAGUGGCUCGCCCAGUCAUGUGUCACCCCAUGCCUGCCUGCUGGGCAAGUGAUACCAGCUCAAACGCGGGCAGACCUGUCUGCUUUUCUUGUGGUUCUCUCUGCUCAGCACUGGCCUGCUUCCUGUGGGCAGCAUCACUCUCCUUCAUGAGUGCCCAUCCCUGGGCUGCUCUCACUGGACGAUAGAGUGCAGGCUUCUGCUGUAACCACUGAAUUCCACCUCCGUUUCCAACCGGCCGUGUUGACUAUUCCCAGAAGUUUCCCCAAAUGAACUCUGACCGCAUCAAAGGGAGUUUACAAAACAGGGUCAAAGCUUCAUACGCCUUGGGUCUUUCUUGUCACACUCAACUAAAACAGAGUCCAGAGGUUGCGGGUAAAGCGCUUGAGGCACAAGACGUUCCUUCAAGCAUACGAUUCUCUGCAGACCUGGCUGCUGGAACUGCCAGGUGUAACCUGAAACCAGUUUUAUCUAACAGCCACUGGAACAACCUGCUGAAAUCUAACACCAUCACCCACAAAUCAGUGUUCGCCAGCAUCCCCAAAACCUUACUAGUGCCAAGGAACUUUAUUUCAAAACAAUACACAGCAUUUCUCCUCUUCAUAAAACCUCCAAACUUCUCUGUUCUUUGGACAUACGAGAGGCCACCGUUCUGUGUCUAUCCCCCGAACUGCAGUUGUUGCUUCCCAAAUAAAACAUGUUAAACUCAGAGAUUUAUCUCUAUGU
RNAcentral lists this long non-coding RNA (1616 nucleotides) under Homo sapiens (human). Its description in RNAcentral is "HSALNT0300330". Lineage: Eukaryota; Metazoa; Chordata; Mammalia; Primates; Hominidae. The record is from RNAcentral.